UGCUCCUGCACCCAAUACCCAGAAUUAUGCUACGUACAGAGAAGGCUACAACGUGUAUGGAACAGAAAGUGUUAAGAUCUAGUGGUACGGCUAAAGGUCCAGGAACUGUGGUGACUUCAGAUCCCGCACUUAUGAUG
Non-coding RNA from Podarcis muralis (Common wall lizard), 137 nucleotides. The record is from RefSeq and is a predicted model, not a curated record. Lineage: Eukaryota; Metazoa; Chordata; Lepidosauria; Squamata; Lacertidae.